AGAAAUAAGAGUGCAUAUCCCACUACCCUUUUUGCCUUAAGAAAAAAUUGUUGCUAAACCUUCAUAACAAGAUACAAGAAAUGAGUUAUAUAAUAAAAGUGGUUCAUUACUACAAGAAGAUGUCAUCAUUGAAAAUAUUGUAGAAGAACCUCAAUUAAUGCCUUUGAAAAGAUCUCAAAGGGAAAGGAAGUAGGUCAUAUCAAAUG
RNAcentral lists this long non-coding RNA (206 nucleotides) under Carica papaya (papaya). RNAcentral describes it as "long non-coding RNA (CPAP_LNC003619)". Lineage: Eukaryota; Viridiplantae; Streptophyta; Magnoliopsida; Brassicales; Caricaceae. The record is from RNAcentral.